RNAcentral lists this ribosomal RNA (460 nucleotides) under uncultured bacterium. Its description in RNAcentral is "partial 16S ribosomal RNA". It matches the Rfam family "Bacterial small subunit ribosomal RNA", at positions 338 to 795 of the family's 1533-position model. The record is from RNAcentral.
CCUACGGGAGGCAGCAGUGAGGAAUAUUGGGCAAUGGACGAGAGUCUGAACCAGCCAAGUAGCGUGAAGGAUGACUGCCCUAUGGGUUGUAAACUUCUUUUAUAUGGGAAUAAAAUGUUUCACGUGUGGGAUUAUGUAUGUACUAUAUGAGUAAGGAUCGGCUAACUCCGUGCCAGCAGCCGCGGUAAUACGGAGGAUCCGAGCGUUAUCCGGAUUUAUUGGGGUUAAAGGGAGAGUAGGUGGAAUGUUAAGUCAGUUGUGAAAGUUUGCGGCUCAACCGGUAAAUUGCAGUUGAAACUGGCAGUCUUGAGUACAGUAGAGGUGGGCGGAAUUCGUGGUGUAGCGGUGAAAUGCUUAGAUAUCACGAAGAACUCCGAUUGCGAAGGCAGCUCACUGGACUGCAACUGACACUGAGGCUCGAAAGUGUGGGUAUCAAACAGGAUUAGAUACCCUUGUAGUC